AGGGUGUAAACGCUGCAGACUUGGUGUUGGAGGCCCUUUUGGGGGGCGAUUCAGUGCCGGAGAGAAGUUGUUAAGUCUGCUACUUGGGGAGUACGUCCGCAAGGAUGAAACUUAAAGGAAUUGGCGGGGGAGGCACCGCAACGGGAGGAGCGUGCGGUUUAAUUGGAUUCAACACCGUAAAACUCACCAGGGAAGACUGUUACAUGAAGGCCGAGAUGAAGACUCUGCUAGAUUUUCAGAGAGGAGGUGCAUGGCGUCAGUGACU
This 265-nucleotide ribosomal RNA is filed under the name uncultured archaeon. RNAcentral's name for it is "partial 16S ribosomal RNA". It matches the Rfam family "Archaeal small subunit ribosomal RNA", at positions 748 to 1008 of the family's 1478-position model. The record is from RNAcentral.